Molecule: unclassified non-coding RNA, 186 nt
Filed under: fungal sp.
Lineage: Eukaryota; Fungi
Description: partial internal transcribed spacer region
Rfam family: Eukaryotic small subunit ribosomal RNA (bases 1-46)
Source: RNAcentral
AAGUCGUAACAAGGUUUCCGUAGGUGAACCUGCGGAAGGAUCAUUUUUGGUACACUAUUAAACUUGGGGGGUUCACUCCCGAGUGUUAACUGAACACGUCUAGUUGGCCUUGGCUGCUAGGUUGAACACGGCAUUGUCUGACUUUAAUUAAUAACAAAACUUUCAACAACGGAUCUCUAGGCUCUU